GUGUAUGUGGCCCAGUGGUAAAGCACUUGCAUAGCAUGAAUGAGGUCUUGGGUUUGAUCCUCAGGACUACAUACACA
RNAcentral lists this transfer RNA (77 nucleotides) under Marmota monax (woodchuck). RNAcentral describes it as "tRNA.Ala". Lineage: Eukaryota; Metazoa; Chordata; Mammalia; Rodentia; Sciuridae. The record is from RNAcentral.